GACGAACGCUGGCGGCGUGCUUAACACAUGCAAGUCGAACGGGCUCUGUCUGGCUGUGUGCUGGGUGGGGUUAGUGGCGAACGGGUGAGUACUACUUGAGUAACCUGCCCUCUUCUUUGGGUUAAUCCUUGGAAACGGGGUCUAAUACUGGAUAUUCCUGUCUGGUCGCAUGUCUGGAUGGGGAGAGUUUUUUUCGGUGGGGGAUGGGCUCGCGGCCUCUCAGCUUGUUGGUGGGGUGAUGGCCUACGAAGGCGGCGACGGGUAGCCGGCCUGCGAGGGGGACCGGCCGCACUGAGACUGGGAUACGGCCCAGACUGGUACGGGAGGCAGCAGUGGGGGAUAGUGGCCAGUGGGCGCAAGCCUGAUGCAGCGACGCAGCGUGGGGGAUGACGGCUUUCGGGUUGUAUGCCUCUUUCGUCGGGGGACAAGGCUCUGCUUGGUGGUGGGGUUGAGGGUACCCGGUGAAGAAGCGCCGGCUAACUACGUG
This 487-nucleotide ribosomal RNA is filed under the name uncultured bacterium. RNAcentral's name for it is "partial 16S ribosomal RNA". It matches the Rfam family "Bacterial small subunit ribosomal RNA", at positions 28 to 507 of the family's 1533-position model. The record is from RNAcentral.